RNAcentral lists this long non-coding RNA (250 nucleotides) under Homo sapiens (human). RNAcentral's name for it is "HSALNT0168269". Lineage: Eukaryota; Metazoa; Chordata; Mammalia; Primates; Hominidae. The record is from RNAcentral.
ACUGAGUGCUCGGAUCCAGACCAGCAUAUGGAGCUGGUGAUCUUAUCUUGGGUUUCGUGAUGACUGUUUUCCACGUCUCCACCUUCUUCCCCAUGGCUGCACUGCACAUUUACUGUGGAUCUACACUAAGAUCUCCUCCAAAGGACAGGUAAAUGCGUGAUCACCUGAUCCCUCACCAAAGAGUAUGAGACAGAAAGAAUGGCAAGUGUUCUCUGGGAGCUGCCAAUGACCUGGUACCACACGAUUUUUU